GAGCUCUCCAAGUUGGGGGGGUGGGGGGGCAGAAAAGGGCGAAAGAACUAUCUCACCCACAGAGGGGCGAGGGCGCCAGGAGAAGCACGAAGGAGGACGUUUGGGACAACAGCACCAAUGUUACCUCUGGGCAGCCUUCUCUGACACCCUUGAGGUCCUACUAGACCCUGCCACGGCUUCAGCUGCGCUCAUAGGGAGCCAGUGUGCCCGAGGAAGCCACCACCAAGUCUGGAUGCCAGAGGGUUCCAGCCUCAGGGCGUUGCUGGUUGUACACAGUCCAGCCACUGAUCGCUGAAGCCUGGCAUGUACUUAGUGAGCCAGCUGCCAGCCCCACUUCAAAAGUGAGGAGAAGACUCCUUUGUCCCAGCCUCCGGGAACCGCUUGCCUGGGGUCCACUUUUGCGCUCUAGAAGCAUCAUCGUAAAACUGAUCCUUAGUGUCCCAGUUUUUUUUUUUUUUUUGGAAAGACUGCUUCCUAUUUAAUUGUAAAAUCUCCUUUCCUUCUCUUGUUUCCUGUAGUGUCCAAAAGGGUAAGCUUUUGAAAGUUCAAGAGGCUCAAAGAGACCUGUAUAAAGUUGUUCUUUCUCUUCUCACUAGAAGAAACAUCCUCUCUGAAAUGGAACCUUAUGCCAUGUACAUCCUUUCUGAAUAUGGGAGAAGGUGUUUUCCCUACUCUCCCCAACCCAGUAUACAAGCCUCAUCCAAUCAGCAAAUUACCAACAAGACUCCUAUCCCACUCCUUGUACCCUGGGUAUAAAAGUGGACUAAGGACUCCUGUUCAACAUCAACAGUGAGCUGGCUCACUGUUCUAACAGCAUCUCCCACUCUAAUAAACUUUAUUUUCCCUUUCAUUCUGGUCUCAUGUCUGGAAAUACUUUUCCAACCCGUGCCUGGACCACGACAAUUAUUUCUCAGACUAAUGUCUACAAAAAAAAAAAAGAUGCAAAAAUAUUUCUCAAACUAAUAUCUACAAGAAAAAGAAAUGUAAAAAGGCAAAAUGGUUGUUUGAGGAAGCCUUACAAAUAGCUGUGAAGAGACUAGAAGUGAAAGGCAAAGGAGAAAAGGAAAGAUAUACCCAUUUGAAUGCAGAGUUCCAAAGAAUAGCAAGAAGAGAUAAGAAAGCCUUCCUCAGUGAUCAAUGCAAAGAAAUAGAGGAAAACAACAGAAUGGGAAAGACUAGAGAUCUCUUCAAGAAAAUGAGAGAUACCAAGGGAACAUUUCAUGCAAAGAUGGGCUGGAUAAAGGACAGAAAUGGUAUGGACCUAAUAGAAGCAGAAGAUAUUAAGAAGAGAUGGCAAGAAUACACAGAAGAACUGUACAGAAAAGAUCUUCACAACCCAGAUAAUCACGAUGGUGUGAUCACUGACCUAGAGCCAGACAUCCUGGAAUGCGAAGUCAAGUG
This is a long non-coding RNA of Bos taurus (domestic cattle), 1401 nucleotides long. Lineage: Eukaryota; Metazoa; Chordata; Mammalia; Artiodactyla; Bovidae. The record is from Ensembl.